CCUACGGGAGGCAGCAGUGGGGAAUAUUGGACAAUGGGGGCAACCCUGAUCCAGCCAUGCCGCGUGUGUGAAGAAGGCCCUCGGGUUGUAAAGCACUUUCAGUGAGGAAGAACGCCUGGUGGUUAAUACCCAUCAGGAAAGACAUCACUCACAGAAGAAGCACCGGCUAACUCCGUGCCAGCAGCCGCGGUAAUACGGAGGGUGCGAGCGUUAAUCGGAAUUACUGGGCGUAAAGCGCGCGUAGGUGGCUUGAUAAGCCGGUUGUGAAAGCCCCGGGCUCAACCUGGGAACGGCAUCCGGAACUGUCAAGCUAGAGUGCAGGAGAGGAAGGUAGAAUUCCCGGUGUAGCGGUGAAAUGCGUAGAGAUCGGGAGGAAUACCAGUGGCGAAGGCGGCCCUCUGGACUGACACUGACACUGAGGUGCGAAAGCGUGGGUAGCAAACAGGAUUAGAUACCCGUGUAGUC
RNAcentral lists this ribosomal RNA (465 nucleotides) under Vreelandella stevensii. Its description in RNAcentral is "partial 16S ribosomal RNA". It matches the Rfam family "Bacterial small subunit ribosomal RNA", at positions 338 to 795 of the family's 1533-position model. Lineage: Bacteria; Pseudomonadati; Pseudomonadota; Gammaproteobacteria; Oceanospirillales; Halomonadaceae. The record is from RNAcentral.